RNAcentral lists this ribosomal RNA (537 nucleotides) under Dyella sp. RNAcentral's name for it is "bacterial SSU rRNA". It matches the Rfam family "Bacterial small subunit ribosomal RNA", at positions 198 to 730 of the family's 1533-position model. Lineage: Bacteria; Pseudomonadati; Pseudomonadota; Gammaproteobacteria; Lysobacterales; Rhodanobacteraceae. The record is from RNAcentral.
UCAGCAAUGACCUCGCGCGGUUGGAUGGACCGAUGUUCGAUUAGCUUGUUGGUGGGGUAAUGGCCUACCAAGGCGACGAUCGAUAGCUGGUCUGAGAGGAUGAUCAGCCACACUGGGACUGAGACACGGCCCAGACUCCUACGGGAGGCAGCAGUGGGGAAUAUUGGACAAUGGGCGCAAGCCUGAUCCAGCAAUGCCGCGUGUGUGAAGAAGGCCUUCGGGUUGUAAAGCACUUUUAUCAGGAGCGAAAUACCACGGGUUAAUACCCUAUGGGGCUGACGGUACCUGAGGAAUAAGCACCGGCUAACUUCGUGCCAGCAGCCGCGGUAAUACGAAGGGUGCAAGCGUUAAUCGGAAUUACUGGGCGUAAAGCGUGCGUAGGUGGUUUUUUAAGUCUGCUGUGAAAUCCCCGGGCUCAACCUGGGAAUGGCAGUGGAUACUGGAAAGCUAGAGUGUGAGAGAGGAUGGUGGAAUUCCCGGUGUAGCGGUGAAAUGCGUAGAGAUCGGGAGGAACAUCAGUGGCGAAGGCGGCCAUCU